This 423-nucleotide ribosomal RNA is filed under the name uncultured bacterium. RNAcentral's name for it is "partial 16S ribosomal RNA". It matches the Rfam family "Bacterial small subunit ribosomal RNA", at positions 360 to 776 of the family's 1533-position model. The record is from RNAcentral.
AAUAUUUGACAAUGGGGGCACCCUGAUCCAGCCAUGCCGCGGGUGUGAAGAAGGUCUUCGGAUUGUAAAGCACUUUAAUUUGGGGGGAAGAGUUGUAGGCGAAUACCUUACUGUUUUGACGUUACCGACAGAAUAAGCACCGGCUCACUUCUUCACAGGUGGCGCGGUUAUACGAAGGGUGCAAGCGUUAAUCGGAAUUACUGGGCGUAAAGCGCGCGUAGGUGGUUUGUUAAGUUGGAAGUGAAAGCCCCGGGCUCAACCUGGGAACUGCUUUCAAAACUGGCAAGCUAGAGUAUGGCAGAGGGUGGUGGAAUUUCCUGUGUAGCGGUGAAAUGCGUAGAUAUAGGAAGGAACACCAGUGGCGAAGGCGACCACCUGGGCUAAUACUGACACUGAGGUGCGAAAGCGUGGGGAGCAAACAGG